GCUUCCUGGGGUGCGUAGCUGAAGGUAGCAGGGAGCAAAAAGAAUCUGAAGGGGAAGUGAACAAUGUAGAGCGUAUCUGUGCUGAAGACGUAAGGAGAGAGUGGAGGUCAGAAGCUGGCAUGGUCCCUGGUGCAUGUAUCAGCCGCUAAAGGAGUGGAGAGUAUGAACAUAAGCAAGAGGAAGUGAUGAGUAUCCCUUCCAGGAGAACUCUAAGAGGCAGUGAGUGAUUUGCUGGGCUCCCAAGCCCUCUGCUCUGAUGACAGCAAAGCCCCAAAUCAUGGUGCCUCCAUCAGUCGGGACCCCUCAGCAGAGCCAGCUUCACAGGUGGAGUGGAUGAAUCAGAACUUUCCCCAUGGGAGCAUUUAUAAAAAGGGGACACCCAGCGCAGAAGAUGUUUUCCAGGGAGAUCUCGGGGAGCCCAACAAGCCAAGAAGAGCAGAGCAAAGCAUUCCAAGGAAGGACUCUAAGUCUGCAACCGAGCACACACGAGGGUAGCCUACGCAUGUACGUCUUGCAGUACAAGGAAAGACCAUGUGAAUACACAGCAAGAACGUGGUGCUCUGCAAGUCAGAAACAGACCCGUCAUCAGACACCAAUGGGAAUAGGGACAUCUGCUGCAUUUGGCUGUUGGAGAAACACAAGGAAAUCAUGGACAAGUGCCAGGUGUGGUGACAC
Molecule: long non-coding RNA, 675 nt
Filed under: Homo sapiens (human)
Lineage: Eukaryota; Metazoa; Chordata; Mammalia; Primates; Hominidae
Description: long non-coding RNA NONHSAT192199.1
Source: RNAcentral